This 835-nucleotide long non-coding RNA is filed under the name Marmota monax (woodchuck). Lineage: Eukaryota; Metazoa; Chordata; Mammalia; Rodentia; Sciuridae. The record is from RNAcentral.
CCAGACCUCAGGGUGAAGAUCGUGACUCAAUCCAGGCCAGGAUUAAUCCUGAUAUUUGUUGUUGUUGUUGUUGAGAAGGAAAGAUUUCUUUCCUUAGAUAUAAUUAAGCUGGUAGAAUGUAAGCCUAGAGCUACUGGGAAGAUUCUUGGCCAUUUUUUGGGUCCAUGAAAGCAGAGCUGAGAGAUAAAGAACAACAGAUCCCUAGUACUAUCAUCUGAUCACCUGGAUACAGCUGUGCCUGAAGCCAUCUGCUGGAUUUUCCCCUCCUCUGGAUGAUUUGAAUCUAGUUUCUGUCUUGCAAGCAAGAGUCUUCACUGACUUGUGUGACAUUAAUGCUCAGGUGCUUUAAAACCUAACAGACUGACUCAAAGUUAUAAAGACCAAGGAGGAAAAAGGCUAAACAAAUAAAAAACACUUUCUCACUUUCUUUCAGCUUAUAUUACAUGAAACAACUGCUUCUGAGUGUGCAAACAUGUCCAAAAACAAUCCCUUCACAUUACCACCACUUAUUAAUGACCUGGCUACCUACAUAAACAGCACUGUUCUUUGUGUCAGGAUCAGAUCCAUCCACAUAAAGUGUAUGUCGAUUCCACAAAAAUUUACCAAGCUCCAUUUCAGAUGCCUCUUUGAGAAAGCCGGAGUUGAUGAAACUAAGUAAAAUCCAGAUUUUCUCAGAAUGUAUAUCUUUACAAUCUAGUUUUUAAAAUGCUUUCACUGGUGCAUUAUAGUUGGGUUCAUUAUGACCUGUCACUCAUGCACGGGAUUUCAUUUGCUCCUUUUGGGUCCUCAGUGCCUCCUCUUUCCCUCUCCUCCUUCCUCUUGCUGAUCUCCUUCC